Long non-coding RNA from Leguminivora glycinivorella, 309 nucleotides. RefSeq lists it as uncharacterized. The record is from RefSeq and is a predicted model, not a curated record. The transcript has 2 exons. NCBI's taxonomy places the organism in Eukaryota, Metazoa, Arthropoda, Insecta, Lepidoptera, Tortricidae.
GUGACGGGGAGUCCGUUUCUACACAGGGAGGUAGUACCAGGAUAAAUCUACGCUAAUUCUGGCCACUGUGGUCCCAAUGGAGACAUUCGGUUUUGUGGCUCAUUGGGAAGCAGGCACAGCAGAGGUUUGGGGUUUAAUCCCUAACAAGGACGCCCUUGUGGCGAUAUGAACGCCCUUGGGGCAAAAUGUUGAAAGACUCGAUCUUGAGAUGCCAGCCAUGCUGACCAGUGUGGAGGCUACGACGACAGCGGUUAGAGAAAGGCUCUAACAGUCAUUCCAUACAUGCAGUAUAGCCACUGCUAACUAAAG